Molecule: long non-coding RNA, 225 nt
Organism: Thalassophryne amazonica
Lineage: Eukaryota; Metazoa; Chordata; Actinopteri; Batrachoidiformes; Batrachoididae
Exons: 3
Source: RefSeq, a predicted model, not a curated record
AGAGGGAGCCAAUGAGCAGCAGAACUUUUGACCCCUGUACAAACUGAAAUUGACCGUUGUCACCAUUUGUGUUGUUUUUACCACAUAACUCCAGAACAAUCAGUCAUAGAGAGUCCAAACUAUGACUUUUGGCAUCUUUGUGAUCAGACAAAUAAUGUGGUGUAGUUUUCAAUAUGAUUGGAGCAUUUUUCAAUGUUGGCCCUUGUUUAAUAAUUCAUCAAUGAC